GACGAACGCUGGCGGCGUGCUUAACACAUGCAAGUCGAACGGAAAGGCCCUGCUUUUGUGGGGUGCUCGAGUGGCGAACGGGUGAGUAACACGUGAGUAACCUGCCCUUGACUUUGGGAUAACUUCAGGAAACUGGGGCUAAUACCGGAUAGGAGCUCCUGCUGCAUGGUGGGGGUUGGAAAGUUUCGGCGGUUGGGGAUGGACUCGCGGCUUAUCAGCUUGUUGGUGGGGUAGUGGCUUACCAAGGCUUUGACGGGUAGCCGGCCUGAGAGGGUGACCGGCCACACUGGGACCGAACUACGGCCCAGACUCCUACGGGAGGCAGCAGUGGGGAAUAUUGCACAAUGGGCGGAAGCCGGAUGCAGCAACGCCGCGUGCGGGAUGACGGCCUUCGGGUUGUAACCCGCUUUCGCCUGUGACGAAGCGUGAGUGACGGUAAUGGGUAAAGAAGCACCGGCUACCUACGUG
Molecule: ribosomal RNA, 468 nt
Filed under: uncultured bacterium
Lineage: Bacteria
Description: partial 16S ribosomal RNA
Rfam family: Bacterial small subunit ribosomal RNA
Source: RNAcentral